GUCAAUUGAAGUUUUUUUUUUUCUUUAUAUAUAUAUAUACAUAUAUAUGAAUUUACGAGCACAAUCAUCCUAUAAUGAAACAAACACGAAGGAGGUGGAUUCCGGUCCCGUUUUUAGUCCAUCGGAGAAGCCGAGAACAGGGAAUGAAAAAUGGACGGACUGUCAAAAGAAAAAAUGAAUCUCAGCCACAUCGUCGAAUGAAUAUAUCAUUUAAGUUAUUUUUUCUUAGGGGAGGGUGGAAACGAUAUGCUUGCUUUAACAUAAGACCAUCAACAAUUUAUUGAAGGAUUCAUUUAGCGAAACAAAUCGGUUUGGAGAAGUACAGAAGAGCAGUUAUCCUCCCAAAACAAUCCGGACUGUAAGAGUAAGUUUUUCUAUCUUUCGUUCGGUUGGAAAACAUUUUUCCACGUUUUCCAUCGAUACGUUUGACGGAUAUUUUUUUUUUAAUCAUCAGUUUUUUUGUAGGAUAAUUUUAAAAUAAGGAAAAAGACGUCGGGGAUGUUGUUAAUCAUUACUCUGAUCAAAGUUUUCGGUAUUAAUUUAUUAGGUUGGAUGGGAACAGUUUUAAGAUUUAUUAAGAGGAAAAAGUUGUAAAGGAUUGCAGGCCGGCAAACCAUUCGUUUCAAGUAAUAAACAGUAAUAGUUUGACAUUAGAGUACUUUUAAUCUCUCGGUAACUUUCUAAAGGCUCGUUCUUCGAAUCACCCAAGCAGAGUAUUCGGCUGUUACAUCCAAAACUUUAAAUAAUUUAAAGCAACAGAAGCGCAGUCAAUGAAGCGAAUCGAAAAACAAGCGGGGGUGGCAACACUUAGUGAGGGGUUUAGACUGAUAAUUAGCGGAUCUAAACCGGUGACGAAGAGUCAUUAGCGCGAGAUGACCCCGGCACAGGACAAAGAUGAUCGGGAGCGCGUUUCUGGGUGGCCGUUAUGUGCAAUGCCCGUACGACUAUUUCCACGUGUUUAUGUGACAGGUUAUAACACCCGCUCUACUCCAGUCAACAUGUUAAAUUCCCGAACUGUAAGGUGUCUGCUUUUCGUACAUCAAGCACUUCUCGUUCUCUCUCGUGCCGUCUGUAAUCUACUGCGCCGGCUGGCCAUCUGGCGAAUGAGAGGUUGGUAAUUACAGCGUGCCCGGUAUCAGAUCUGUGGCAGUUGUAACCCUUUAUUGCACAAAUUAAGGCAGAAUAGUCGUAGACAAAGCUUUCGUAAUUAACAGCGUUAUUUCUUGAUUAACUUUUCCCGCCAAACGCUGCUGUGGUUAAUGCAAUUAGUGAUCAUCACCACAUACGGAGGGGGCGCUUCCUCUGUCGCUAUCCCUUCGUGUCUUAAGGCGCACUUUUUACCCCGUUCUUGGCUCGGAUUUCUCUCUCUCUUUCUCUCUAUACUCGUGACUUUGAUCGAGGUUUCGUUCGUUUUUUUUUUCUUCUUUCCUUCUUUCCGGUUGCUUUCUUUUUCUUAAUCAUUUGAUCGAAGUCUUACGCCAGCUGGUAGAUUAUUGUUGCUGUUUUUCCCUUAAGAGCGUAGCAACACCAAAUAUACUUUAUUAAUUAUACCGAAGAUGUGUAAUUAAUUUUGCUUGGGCUUGUUUCGCUCGCAUCGAGGUAAAAUAUUUUUCUGCUGAUUAUCAGAUGUUUCUCUCUUAUUUGUCGUUCUGUUCCCUGUCUACUUUUCUUCUUCUUCUUCUUCUUCUUUUUCCUUCUUCUUGUUUCCUCUUAACUGGAUUUAUUACUGUUCUGUUAUUUAGAAAGUUUGAAAAUCCUGAUAACUAUAUCCUAAAAGUUAUUCGGCUCCAGAUCUCUCGCUUCUUCCGGUCCAGACUCCAUCUUCGCCAACUAACAAGAUGGUGAAAAAUUAACUAAAAUCUUACGAUAACAUCUCGACUCUGUGCACAAAAUAGGCGCUAUUUUAAAAAAAGAUAAAAAGGAGAAAAGUUCGUUACGCUAUUUUUAGCGUGAUAUUGUAUUUCUUUGACCAUUUACGCUACACUUUGCUGCAGAAAUUAAUCAAGCCAUUUUAAAAUUCCUAAAAGAAUAUAAUUAGUCUGUAUCAAAGGGUAAUUCAUAAGUCGGGUUGGACUAUGACAGUUUCUCACAAGAUGUUCCAAAGCACCGAAAUGGUUAAAAAGAAUUUUUAAAUGAAUAAUGAGACGUACGGCUCUUUUGGAUUACCUGUAACUUUCGACCCUCUAGAUCCAAGGUCGUAAGUACUUAAUGAGGCAGAGGUACGAUUGUUAAUAAGAGAUUUUCUUAUAACAUAUGGUUACUUCAUAAAGUGUUUUAUAGCGCAUGGGAGACUGAUAAUUUAAAACUGUAAUAGUGAAGACGAAAAAGAAGUGGCCAGGAAAAAAAAAAGUUCUCCAGGUUUUAAUUAAAUUCUUUUGUAUUUUUGAUCUGCAAUAUUAUUGUUUGUUUUUUUCUUUUCCUCUUUUUCUUCUUCUUCUUCUUCUUU
This 2446-nucleotide long non-coding RNA is filed under the name Androctonus crassicauda. Lineage: Eukaryota; Metazoa; Arthropoda; Arachnida; Scorpiones; Buthidae. The record is from RNAcentral.